CGAAGGAUGCAAGCGUUAUCCGGAUUCAUUGGGUUUAAAGGGAGCGUAGGUGGCUUUGUAAGUCAGUGGUGAAAUCUUCUCGCUUAACGAGAAAACUGCCAUUGAUACUGCAGAGCUUGAGUACAGUUGCCGUUGGCGGAAUAUGACAUGUAGUGGUGAAAUACAUAGAGGUGUCAUAGAACACCGAUUGCGAAGGCAGCUAACGAAACUGUAACUGACACUGAGGCUCGAAAGUGCGGGGAUCAAACAGGAUUAGAUACCCUGGUAGUCCGCACUGUAAACGAUGAUUACUCGCUGCUGGAGGGCAACUUUCAGUGGCUUAGCGAAAGCGAUAAGUAAUCCACCUGGGGAGUACGCCGGCAACGGUG
RNAcentral lists this ribosomal RNA (368 nucleotides) under uncultured organism. Its description in RNAcentral is "bacterial SSU rRNA". It matches the Rfam family "Bacterial small subunit ribosomal RNA", at positions 526 to 896 of the family's 1533-position model. The record is from RNAcentral.